GAUGAACGCUGGCGGCGUGCCUAAUACAUGCAAGUCGAACGCUGGAAAUCUAGCUUGCUAGCUUGAAGGAGUGGCGAACGGGUGAGUAAUACAUAAGCAACCUACCCACGAAGACUGGGAUAAUCUCUGGAAACGGGGACUAAUACCGGAUAGGUAAUCGGAAGGCAUCUUCUGAUUAUUAAAGGUUAAAAACACUGGUGGAUGGGCUUAUGGCGCAUUAGUUAGUUGGUGAGGUAACGGCCCACCAAGACGAUGAUGCGUAGCCGGCCUGAGAGGGUGAACGGCCACAUUGGGACUGAGACACGGCCCAGACUCCUACGGGAGGCAGCAGUAGGGAAUUUUCGGCAAUGGGGGAAACCCUGACCGAGCAACGCCGCGUGAGUGAGGACGGCCUUCGGGUUGUAAAGCUCUGUUGUAAGGGAAGAACGGUAGAUAGAGAAUAUCUAAAUGACGGUACCUUACCAGAAAGCCACGGCUAACUACGUG
RNAcentral lists this ribosomal RNA (486 nucleotides) under uncultured bacterium. Its description in RNAcentral is "partial 16S ribosomal RNA". It matches the Rfam family "Bacterial small subunit ribosomal RNA", at positions 28 to 507 of the family's 1533-position model. The record is from RNAcentral.